UACGGAGGGGGCUAGCGUUGUUCGGAAUUACUGGGCGUAAAGCGCGCGUAGGCGGAUUGGAAAGUUGGGGGUGAAAUCCCGGGGCUCAACCCCGGAACGGCCUCCAAAACUAUCAGUCUUGAGUUCGAGAGAGGUGAGUGGAAUUCCGAGUGUAGAGGUGAAAUUCGUAGAUAUUCGGAGGAACACCAGUGGCGAAGGCGGCUCACUGGCUCGAUACUGACGCUGAGGUU
RNAcentral lists this ribosomal RNA (230 nucleotides) under uncultured microorganism. RNAcentral describes it as "partial 16S ribosomal RNA". It matches the Rfam family "Bacterial small subunit ribosomal RNA", at positions 524 to 753 of the family's 1533-position model. The record is from RNAcentral.